Molecule: long non-coding RNA, 226 nt
Organism: Cryptomeria japonica (Japanese cedar)
Lineage: Eukaryota; Viridiplantae; Streptophyta; Pinopsida; Cupressales; Cupressaceae
Exons: 3
Source: RefSeq, a predicted model, not a curated record
CUCACAUGGAGGAAAGAGACUGUUGGUGCAAAAGCAGUUGUAAACUAGUGAUGUUAGUAAUCUUGGACGAGUAGUUCUUCCUAAGAAAGCUGCAGAGGCAAACCUUCCACGCCUAGAGAUGAAGGAAGGCAUUGUCAUAUCAGCAAAGGACCAUGACAAUGAUCGCAGUUGGAUUCUCAAAUACAGGUUCUGGCCAAACAAUAAGACUAGAAUGUAUAUAAUGGAA